Molecule: ribosomal RNA, 512 nt
Filed under: uncultured bacterium
Lineage: Bacteria
Description: partial 16S ribosomal RNA
Rfam family: Bacterial small subunit ribosomal RNA
Source: RNAcentral
GACGAACGCUGGCGGCGUGCCUAAUACAUGCAAGUCGAGCGAAUCAAUAGGAGCUUGCUCCUGUUGAUUAGCGGCGGACGGGUGAGUAACACGUGGGCAACCUGCCUGUAAGACUGGGCUAACUUCGGGAAACCGGAGCUAAUACCGGAUAAUCCUUUUCCUCUCAUGAGGAAACGCUGAAAGUCGGUUUCGGCUGACAUUUACAGAUGGGCCCGCGGCGCAUUAGCUAGUUGGUGAGGCAACGGCUCACCAAGGCGACGAUGCGUAGCCGACCUGAGAGGGCGAUCGGCCACACUGGGACUGAGACACGGCCCAGACUCCUACGGGAGGCAGCAGUAGGGAAUCUUCCGCAAUGGACGAAAGUCUGACGGAGCAACGCCGCGUGAGCGAUGAAGGCCUUCGGGUCGUAAAGCUCUGUUGUUAGGGAAGAACAAGUAUCGGAGUAACUGCCGGUACCUUGACGGUACCUAACCAGAAAGCCACGGCUAACUACGUGCCAGCAGCCGCAGUAA